GGUGACUCAGUGGUAGAGCGCUUGCCUUGCAUGCAAGAGGCCCUGGGUUCGAUUCCUCAGCACCA
Molecule: transfer RNA, 65 nt
Filed under: Dipodomys ordii (Ord's kangaroo rat)
Lineage: Eukaryota; Metazoa; Chordata; Mammalia; Rodentia; Heteromyidae
Rfam family: tRNA
About the family: Transfer RNA (tRNA) molecules are approximately 80 nucleotides in length.
Source: Rfam by way of RNAcentral